RNAcentral lists this ribosomal RNA (467 nucleotides) under Eimeria alabamensis. Its description in RNAcentral is "SSU rRNA". It matches the Rfam family "Eukaryotic small subunit ribosomal RNA", at positions 1336 to 1831 of the family's 1831-position model. Lineage: Eukaryota; Apicomplexa; Conoidasida; Eucoccidiorida; Eimeriidae. The record is from RNAcentral.
UGAGACCUUAGCCUGCUAAAUAGGAUCGGGAACCUCGGUUCUCGCAUCACUUCUUAGAGGGACUUUGCGUGUCUAACGCAAGGAAGUUUGAGGCAAUAACAGGUCUGUGAUGCCCUUAGAUGUUCUGGGCUGCACGCGCGCUACACUGAUGCAUGCAACGAGUUUUUGACCUUGGCCGGAAGGUCUAGGUAAUCUUUUGAGUAUGCAUCGUGAUGGGGAUAGAUUAUUGCAAUUAUUAAUCUUCAACGAGGAAUGCCUAGUAGGCGCAAGUCAGCAGCUUGUGCCGAUUACGUCCCUGCCCUUUGUACACACCGCCCGUCGCUGCAACCGGUCGGAGGGUCCUGUGAACUCGAUGGACAGCCCAUCCCCUUCUUGGGGUUGGGCUGGAAGUUGCGUAAAUAGCGCCCUCUAAAGGAUGCAAAAGUCGUAACACGGUUUCCGUAGGUGAACCUGCGGAAGGAUCAUUC